GGAACUAUAAGGGAAAUCGAUGGCAACAAUUUGGUCAAGAAGGUUCUCGAACAAGAGCCUGAAAUGUUACCCUGCCAUGCAUCAGCAUCUCCGCUUUCUCCUCAGCUUUCUUCCCUUGGCACGCCGCGCCUCGGCCCGUCAAUUAAGGUGUGGGACCCUUACAAUGUCUUGGCCCCGCCUCCGCCGCUUCCUCCUCCUCCUCCAAUUUUCUCUCGGAGCUUGUCGUCAUCUUCGUCUGGCGGGAUUGUUGACGACGAUCGUGCCGUCACCGAGGUGUAUUUGAUUAAUCAUGGAGAGUGCGAACUUAAUUUGAGGCCAGAUUUGGUCGGUGGGAGGUGCCAUGUGGCGGCUUUGACGCCAAACGGGAAACGUCAGGCUAGGGCUUUAGCUGU
This 392-nucleotide unclassified non-coding RNA is filed under the name Hevea brasiliensis (rubber tree). The record is from RNAcentral. Lineage: Eukaryota; Viridiplantae; Streptophyta; Magnoliopsida; Malpighiales; Euphorbiaceae.